UUCCACAGAGUGGAGAUUAUGCUGUAAAGGUUGUCGGGCAAGGAUUAAUGAACAACCUUGCACUCGGCAUCCAUUAAAGUCACACCUUACGUUUUGUAUGCUUUUAUAUGGAAAACAUAUUUGUUGGUAAAGUGAGUUUCUGCUACGUCUAUGUGUCUUUUUUAGGUAGUACUUCGAGUUCUUGUUUGUGAGUCAAUAUUCCGUUUGAAUUCCAGAGUAGAACUGUGAGCGGAUUGAAAGGUGAGAAGGAACAUGAGGGGGAGUGAUCAAUGAUUUAAAAUCGUUAAGGAAAGAAGUAAGGUGGGAAAUGAUAUCUGUUGAUGGGGCUGGUGAGGUAGUUGGUAUGUAGUUGGGUGCAGGGUAGCUACUUGAGCAUAGCUGGAAUUGCGAUGAAUUUCCCCAGAUAAGUGUUGAUGUUGUUGGGGCAGAGGUGAGGACUUCUGUGACUGUUUUCCCAGUGUUCCUGCUUGCUGGAUAUGGUGCUGUCGGGUUGGUGUUUCUUUGGGGUGGGAGUCCUGGAAAGAAGGUUGAUGUCAUCGUUGGGGUUCUGGAACUGUUGCCGCUUUAACUUUGGGAGUCUCCUGUCUCAGCUUUCUCUGGUUUUGUAGUUCUUUGUGAGUGGUGUAUCCAGGAUGUGCCCCGCCGCAUAGAGCACGAGUCGCAGGUGUAUUAAGUGGUCUAGUGCAUUGUGUAGAUUGGUGUGAGCCUCUCCACCUGACACAUCAGGGUGAUUACAAUAGGUGCGUGUGUGCUCAUAAUCCUGGCAUCUGUAGCACUGAACGACUUUCGUGCACAUUCUAGGUUCCUCCGCGUUGAUUUUUUUAGAAGGUACUGAAGCUGGAAUAUAUCCUCACUAUUUUUGUAAGGUCUACAAAAAAUAGGGGAAGUGGCGUUUUAGAGCUAGGGUGUAAUACUCGAUGCACAAAAUCACUUGGAAUGUUUUUUUUUCUGUACAUAAAAAUUUCACUUUUUUCCGAUAACUUUCGCUGUCAUAUGUGUGGAGCAACAAGUCAUUUACUCGGGAGCGACAAUAAAAUUUGUCGCUACCAAGUACGGCGGUUAAGUAUUGACAAAAUCGGUUAAAAUUGUCUGUUUUUUUAAUGUUUGGAGGAAUUGCAGAGCUGGCACUCUCUACACCUUUUAAUAUUUUCAUUUUUGGGGAAUUUGUAGUGCUGCUGGUUUUUUUACAGGGUUUUUUCCGUGGUUCCCUAGUCUUGCCCGCCGAGGAUGUGACUCACCCCAGGCAUUCAAAACCGGAGUCUAAUCCUCAGGGAGUGAACAGUCAACUCCAAGAGACGAUCCGGAACAGAAGCAACUGCACUCCGUCUGGGAAUCAACAAGGGUACUCAGCCAGCCAGAGCCAGCGAGGACCAGCCUUUGCGACCCAUCGAACCAAGUCGACGGUCGAGAGAACAAACGGACCUGGGGAUGCGGUGGACACUAAUCGUGGCGAGCGUCGUUUGGGUGGGGUUGUGAUCGGUAGAGGUGGGAGUAGGCGGAGGCGGAGGCGAAGGCGGGUUUGCCGUUAGACCCCAUGAAGGUGAGUUAAGACAGCAGAAAACAUAUCUCAACCGUUUGAUCCUGCGCUAACAGUAGAACGCUUGCGAAAGGAGGAGUUACAGGAAGCGAAAAAGUAUCCGAGAUUGUUUUUUACUAUAAAAACAACCACUAACAUCCCGACCCACAACAUUAUUGUACUGUUAACACCAG
RNAcentral lists this long non-coding RNA (1710 nucleotides) under Cimex lectularius (bed bug). RNAcentral describes it as "uncharacterized LOC112126697, transcript variant X1". The record is from RNAcentral. Lineage: Eukaryota; Metazoa; Arthropoda; Insecta; Hemiptera; Cimicidae.